GGCGACCAACUGUGAUAAUUCUCGGUCGCCGUAAUGGCGUAUUUAUGUGCUUCGCCGAUCAUCCUGUUAGACAGCCACCCGUAAACUGAUUCC
Salvia miltiorrhiza (redroot sage) is the source of this 93-nucleotide small nucleolar RNA. RefSeq annotates it as small nucleolar RNA Z43. Lineage: Eukaryota; Viridiplantae; Streptophyta; Magnoliopsida; Lamiales; Lamiaceae. The transcript has a single exon. The record is from RefSeq and is a predicted model, not a curated record.